This 2905-nucleotide ribosomal RNA is filed under the name Klebsiella variicola subsp. tropica. RNAcentral describes it as "23S ribosomal RNA". It matches the Rfam family "Bacterial large subunit ribosomal RNA". Lineage: Bacteria; Pseudomonadati; Pseudomonadota; Gammaproteobacteria; Enterobacterales; Enterobacteriaceae. The record is from RNAcentral.
GGUUAAGCGACUAAGCGUACACGGUGGAUGCCCUGGCAGUCAGAGGCGAUGAAGGACGUGCUAAUCUGCGAAAAGCGUCGGUAAGGUGAUAUGAACCGUUAUAACCGGCGAUGUCCGAAUGGGGAAACCCAGUGCAAUUCGUUGCACUAUCGUUAACUGAAUACAUAGGUUAACGAGGCGAACCGGGGGAACUGAAACAUCUAAGUACCCCGAGGAAAAGAAAUCAACCGAGAUUCCCCCAGUAGCGGCGAGCGAACGGGGAGCAGCCCAGAGUCUGAAUCAGCUUGUGUGUUAGUGGAACGGUCUGGAAAGUCCGACGGUACAGGGUGAUAGUCCCGUACACCAAAAUGCACAGGUUGUGAACUCGAAGAGUAGGGCGGGACACGUGGUAUCCUGUCUGAAUAUGGGGGGACCAUCCUCCAAGGCUAAAUACUCCUGACUGACCGAUAGUGAACCAGUACCGUGAGGGAAAGGCGAAAAGAACCCCGGCGAGGGGAGUGAAAAAGAACCUGAAACCGUGUACGUACAAGCAGUGGGAGCCUCUUUAUGGGGUGACUGCGUACCUUUUGUAUAAUGGGUCAGCGACUUAUAUUCUGUAGCAAGGUUAACCGUAUAGGGGAGCCGCAGGGAAACCGAGUCUUAACUGGGCGUUAAGUUGCAGGGUAUAGACCCGAAACCCGGUGAUCUAGCCAUGGGCAGGUUGAAGGUUGGGUAACACUAACUGGAGGACCGAACCGACUAAUGUUGAAAAAUUAGCGGAUGACUUGUGGCUGGGGGUGAAAGGCCAAUCAAACCGGGAGAUAGCUGGUUCUCCCCGAAAGCUAUUUAGGUAGCGCCUCGUGAACUCAUCUUCGGGGGUAGAGCACUGUUUCGGCUAGGGGGUCAUCCCGACUUACCAACCCGAUGCAAACUACGAAUACCGAAGAAUGUUAUCACGGGAGACACACGGCGGGUGCUAACGUCCGUCGUGAAGAGGGAAACAACCCAGACCGCCAGCUAAGGUCCCAAAGUCAUGGUUAAGUGGGAAACGAUGUGGGAAGGCACAGACAGCCAGGAUGUUGGCUUAGAAGCAGCCAUCAUUUAAAGAAAGCGUAAUAGCUCACUGGUCGAGUCGGCCUGCGCGGAAGAUGUAACGGGGCUAAACCAUGCACCGAAGCUGCGGCAGCGACACUAUGUGUUGUUGGGUAGGGGAGCGUUCUGUAAGCCUGCGAAGGUGACCUGUGAGGGUUGCUGGAGGUAUCAGAAGUGCGAAUGCUGACAUAAGUAACGAUAAAGCGGGUGAAAAGCCCGCUCGCCGGAAGACCAAGGGUUCCUGUCCAACGUUAAUCGGGGCAGGGUGAGUCGACCCCUAAGGCGAGGCCGAAAGGCGUAGUCGAUGGGAAACAGGUUAAUAUUCCUGUACUUGGUGUUACUGCGAAGGGGGGACGGAGAAGGCUAUGUUAGCCGGGCGACGGUUGUCCCGGUUUAAGCAUGUAGGCGGAGGUUCCAGGUAAAUCCGGUACCUUUUAACGCUGAGGUGUGAUGACGAGGCACUACGGUGCUGAAGUAACAAAUGCCCUGCUUCCAGGAAAAGCCUCUAAGCAUCAGGUAACAUUAAAUCGUACCCCAAACCGACACAGGUGGUCAGGUAGAGAAUACCAAGGCGCUUGAGAGAACUCGGGUGAAGGAACUAGGCAAAAUGGUGCCGUAACUUCGGGAGAAGGCACGCUGAUAUGUAGGUGAAGUCCCUGCGGAUGGAGCUGAAAUCAGUCGAAGAUACCAGCUGGCUGCAACUGUUUAUUAAAAACACAGCACUGUGCAAACACGAAAGUGGACGUAUACGGUGUGACGCCUGCCCGGUGCCGGAAGGUUAAUUGAUGGGGUUAUCCGUAAGGAGAAGCUCUUGAUCGAAGCCCCGGUAAACGGCGGCCGUAACUAUAACGGUCCUAAGGUAGCGAAAUUCCUUGUCGGGUAAGUUCCGACCUGCACGAAUGGCGUAAUGAUGGCCAGGCUGUCUCCACCCGAGACUCAGUGAAAUUGAACUCGCUGUGAAGAUGCAGUGUACCCGCGGCAAGACGGAAAGACCCCGUGAACCUUUACUAUAGCUUGACACUGAACAUUGAGCCUUGAUGUGUAGGAUAGGUGGGAGGCUUUGAAGCGUGGACGCCAGUCUGCGUGGAGCCAACCUUGAAAUACCACCCUUUAAUGUUUGAUGUUCUAACGUAGACCCCUAAUCGGGGUUGCGGACAGUGUCUGGUGGGUAGUUUGACUGGGGCGGUCUCCUCCCAAAGAGUAACGGAGGAGCACGAAGGUUAGCUAAUCCUGGUCGGACAUCAGGAGGUUAGUGCAAUGGCAUAAGCUAGCUUGACUGCGAGCGUGACGGCGCGAGCAGGUGCGAAAGCAGGUCAUAGUGAUCCGGUGGUUCUGAAUGGAAGGGCCAUCGCUCAACGGAUAAAAGGUACUCCGGGGAUAACAGGCUGAUACCGCCCAAGAGUUCAUAUCGACGGCGGUGUUUGGCACCUCGAUGUCGGCUCAUCACAUCCUGGGGCUGAAGUAGGUCCCAAGGGUAUGGCUGUUCGCCAUUUAAAGUGGUACGCGAGCUGGGUUUAGAACGUCGUGAGACAGUUCGGUCCCUAUCUGCCGUGGGCGCUGGAGAAUUGAGGGGGGCUGCUCCUAGUACGAGAGGACCGGAGUGGACGCAUCACUGGUGUUCGGGUUGUCAUGCCAAUGGCAUUGCCCGGUAGCUAAAUGCGGAAGAGAUAAGUGCUGAAAGCAUCUAAGCACGAAACUUGCCCCGAGAUGAGUUCUCCCUGAGACUAUAAGUCUCCUGAAGGAACGUUGAAGACGACGACGUUGAUAGGCCGGGUGUGUAAGCGCAGCGAUGCGUUGAGCUAACCGGUACUAAUGAACCGUGAGGCUUAACCUU